GACGGCAGCACAAGAGAGCUUGCUCUCUGGGUGGCGAGUGGCGGACGGGUGAGGAAUGCAUCGGAAUCUGCCCAUUUGUGGGGGAUAACCUCGGGAAACCGGGACUAAUACCGCAUACGACCUACGGGUGAAAGCAGGGGAUCUUCGGACCUUGCGCAGAUGGAUGAGCCGAUGCCGGAUUAGCUAGUUGGAGGGGUAAAGGCCCACCAAGGCGACGAUCCGUAGCUGGUCUGAGAGGAUGAUCAGCCACACUGGGACUGAGACACGGCCCAGACUCCUACGGGAGGCAGCAGUGGGGAAUAUUGGACAAUGGGCGCAAGCCUGAUCCAGCCAUGCCGCGUGUGUGAAGAAGGCCUUCGGGUUGUAAAGCACUUUUGUUGGGAAAGAAAAGCAGCCGGUUAAUACCCGGUUGUCAUGACGGUACCCAAAGAAUAAGCACCGGCUAACUUCGUGCCAGCAGCCGCGGUAAUACGAAGGGUGCAAGCGUUACUCGGAAUUACUGGGCGUAAAGCGUGCGUAGGUGGUUGUUUAAGUCUGAUGUGAAAGCCCUGGGCUCAACCUGGGAAUGGCAUUGGAUACUGGGCAACUGGAGUGCGGUAGAGGGUAGCGGAAUUCCCGGUGUAGCAGUGAAAUGCGUAGAUAUCGGGAGGAACAUCUGUGGCGAACGCGGCUACCUGGACCAGCACUGACACUGAGGCACGAAAGCGUGGGGAGCAAACAGGAUUAGAUACCCUGGUAGUCCACGCCCUAAACGAUGCGAACUGGAUGCUGGUGCACUUGAGGCACUCAGUUAUCGAAGCUAACGCGUUAGUUCGCCGCCUGGGGAGUACGGUCGCAAGACUGAAACUCAA
This 851-nucleotide ribosomal RNA is filed under the name uncultured bacterium. RNAcentral's name for it is "bacterial SSU rRNA". It matches the Rfam family "Bacterial small subunit ribosomal RNA", at positions 65 to 904 of the family's 1533-position model. The record is from RNAcentral.